UAACACGUAGGAACGUACCCCAAAGUGAGGGAUAAGCACCAGAAAUGGUGUCUAAUACCGCAUGUGAUCUAAGGAUUAAAGCUUUAUGCGCUUUGGGAACGGCCUGCGUAUGAUUAGUUUGUUGGUGAGGUAAUGGCUCACCAAGACUACGAUCAUUAGCUGGUCUGAGAGGAUGAUCAGCCAGACUGGGACUGAGACACGGCCCAG
Molecule: ribosomal RNA, 207 nt
Filed under: uncultured bacterium
Lineage: Bacteria
Description: partial 16S ribosomal RNA
Rfam family: Bacterial small subunit ribosomal RNA
Source: RNAcentral